ACAGCAGCCGCCGCGGUAAUACGUAGGUCCCGAGCGUUGUCCGGAUUUAUUGGGCGUAAAGCGAGCGCAGGCGGUUAGAUAAGUCUGAAGUGAAAGGCAGUGGCUCAACCAUUGUAGGCUUUGGAAACUGUUUAACUUGAGUGCAGAAGGGGAGAGUGGAAUUCCAUGUGUAGCGGUGAAAUGCGUAGAUAUAUGGAGGAGCACCGGUGGCGAAAGCGGCUCUCUGGUCUGUCACUGACGCUGAGGCUCGAAAGCGUGGGUAGCGAACAGGAUUAGAUACCCCGGUAGUCCCUGUCUCUUAUACA
Molecule: ribosomal RNA, 305 nt
Filed under: uncultured bacterium
Lineage: Bacteria
Description: partial 16S ribosomal RNA
Rfam family: Bacterial small subunit ribosomal RNA
Source: RNAcentral